Molecule: long non-coding RNA, 568 nt
Filed under: Phoenix dactylifera (date palm)
Lineage: Eukaryota; Viridiplantae; Streptophyta; Magnoliopsida; Arecales; Arecaceae
Description: long non-coding RNA (PDAC_LNC004305)
Source: RNAcentral
AAGGGUGCUAGACGUUGAUAUUUUUUGCUAGUGCUGUGAUAGUAUAUGCUAGUUUGGAACUUUUUUAGAUGUCAAAUGGCAUACCAUAGGCUAUAGACACAUUGCAGAAGGCUUGUUCUUUAGAAAUCAAUACAUUAUUGCGUUAUAAAUUUCCAAGUAAAUUGUUCUGGCUGAUAUAUUUUUCUUCUUGCUUUGUUGAAGUAUAAACCAUUUUUAUCCUACUCAAAGUUUGUAGUACUGACCCAUACCAAGCGGUUCAGUGCAUACCAUACCAUAAUGACCCAAUAUGAAACUAGUACGGUAUAAUAGGGUCUCAGUACAUCCACAUGCCAAGCCACAUGAUAUAGUUGCUGUGCCAACUCCAGCAGCUUACCAUAUGUCAGUACAGGAAUGCACCAUACCUAUCCAACUCAUAUUGAUAAGCGAUAGGUAUAAAUUCCACUGCCAAGAUUAAAAAUCUUGACUUUAAUUUACACAUAACCUAUAGUCUUUCUCGGCUUCCUGUUAUCAGUCAAUCCUCCAAAAUUAUUCAAGCCAAAUCCACUAGCCCCCCCAAAGAAAGAGUCAG